GACGAACGCUGGCGGCGUGCCUAACACAUGCAAGUCGAGCGGAGCGGCGGACGGGUGAGUAAUGCCUAGGAAUCUGCCUGGUAGUGGGGGUUAACGUCCGGAAACGGGCGCUAAUACCGCACACUAUCAGAUGAGCCUAGGUCGGAUUAGCCAGUUGGUGUGGUAAAGGCCUACCAAGGCGACGAUCCGUAACUGGUCUGGGCGGAUGAUCAGUCACACUGGAACGGAGGCACUGUCCUGCCUCCUAGGGGAGGCAGCAGUGGGGAAUAUUGGACAAUGGGCGAAAGCGUGAUCCAGCCAUGCCGCGUGGGUGAAGAAGGUCUUCGGAUUGUAAGGCACUUUAAGUUGGGAGGCGUUACCAACAGAAUAAGCACCGGCUAACUUCGUGCCAGCAGCCGCGGUAAUAC
RNAcentral lists this ribosomal RNA (407 nucleotides) under uncultured bacterium. RNAcentral describes it as "partial 16S ribosomal RNA". It matches the Rfam family "Bacterial small subunit ribosomal RNA", at positions 28 to 526 of the family's 1533-position model. The record is from RNAcentral.